AACAUCGCGCACCUGCGGGAACCUGCGGAAGGAUCAUUACAGAGUUGCAAAACUCCCUAAACCAUUGUGAACCUACCUUCUACCGUUGCUUCGGCGGGCGGGCCUAGCGCCCCCCCGGCCCCCCGCGGGCGCCCGCCGGAGGAUAACCAAACUCUUGACAUCAGUGGCCUCUCUGAGUAUUCUUUACUGAAUAAGUCAAAACUUUCAACAAUGGAUCU
RNAcentral lists this unclassified non-coding RNA (218 nucleotides) under soil metagenome. RNAcentral describes it as "partial contains 5.8S ribosomal RNA, internal transcribed spacer 2, and large subunit ribosomal RNA". The record is from RNAcentral.